Molecule: long non-coding RNA, 830 nt
Organism: Lolium rigidum
Lineage: Eukaryota; Viridiplantae; Streptophyta; Magnoliopsida; Poales; Poaceae
Exons: 4
Source: RefSeq, a predicted model, not a curated record
AAGCCUUCCUCUGCAGCUCUUCUGACAAGGCCCACCCGCUUGUCCUCCUUUUGUUUUCGUCUUCCUCGAGGCUGCCCUUCCUCUACCAGCUGCUGAGGUGUUGCAGCCGUGUCGCCGCACCUCUGAUCUCCUACCCGCCGAUGUUCGUGCGCCAUGGAACGAUUGGGUUGAGCUGUUCAUCGAACAGAUCUAGAUCGAUGGUCCCUGCUUCAUUCACCCGUCAUUCGUGAGAUUGGUUCUGUCCGUUUAUUUGUCCAUCCACCACGUCUAGCUUCAACGCCCUGCCUCUUUAUGUUGAGUAAAAUGUAUGAUGUUGGAGAACAUCAGCCGAAACGUAGUGUUAUUGCAGGCUGGUCUGAUGGGCCUCCACAAUGAGGAUGCCAAUUAUCCUAAGAAGAGGUGCAUGAUGUUUCUUGUCUGUUUAGGCCGUGGAUUUCCAUCUCUACUGUCAUUGUUUACUUGUGUUUCUUCCUCUUUGGCAGGGUGAUGUGGCCACUAUAUGUGCAAGUUGCAAAUCUUCUUUGGUUGACCGGAAAGAAGGGAAAGUAGCUCCAUGCAUGUUCAAUGACUUUGGGCUAUCUAUGGAAGAUAUCUUCAUAGGAUCAUUUUCUUGUUCUUUAUAUCAUGCUCUUUCCUUGUGUAAAUGCUUAUGUGGAUCCCUCCAUUCUCCUGUUAUAGGUACCAAUCCAUCUUUGUGCUGAUGCAUACUCCUUUUGAUCAAGGACUAUUUUGCUUUGUAUGUGAAUUGUGCAUGUGGUCAUGUCUAAAUGGUGAUGUGUAUUACGCUAUUGAAUUGUAUUGAAAUAAAUUGUUUUUACCUGCAAAACGAA